This 381-nucleotide unclassified non-coding RNA is filed under the name uncultured Trichosporon. RNAcentral's name for it is "sequence contains ITS1". The stretch from base 1 to 97 matches the Rfam family "5.8S ribosomal RNA", at positions 50 to 154 of the family's 154-position model. The record is from RNAcentral. Lineage: Eukaryota; Fungi; Basidiomycota; Tremellomycetes.
AAAGUGCGAUACGUAGUGUGAAUUGCAUACUCCUGUGAAUCAUCGAAUCUUUGAACGCAGCUUGCACCUCUCCGGAGGUAUACCUGUUUGGGCAUCCAAAGCCUAUCACGCACACCGCUGUGUGUACGUGGACGUGAGGCUCCCACGCGAGUGUGAGUCUUGAAAAGGGGAGAGCGACGGGCCGCAUAUCUGGCCGGACGGACAGCGCAGCCGGAAAGUGAGGAAGAUUCCCGCUGAGCGGCAGUGUUUGGAAGGACGGCGCGACAGAGAGCAGGCUACGGCUGAAGCGAGGAACACACGAGGUGUGCAUAUAAUGUACAUGGUGUGGACUCUGGAUCACGAGAGGAUCUCAAAUCAGGCAAGAGUACCCGCUGAACUUAA